GACGAACGCUGGCGGCGUGCUUAACACAUGCAAGUCGAACGGAAAGGCCCUGCUUUUGUGGGGUGCUCGAGUGGCGAACGGGUGAGUAACACGUGAGUAACCUGCCCUUGACUUUGGGAUAACUUCAGGAAACUGGGACUAAUACCGGAUAGGAGCUCCUGCUGCAUGGUGGGGUUGGAAAGUUUUCGGCGGUUGGGGAUGGACUCGCGGCUUAUCAGCUUGUUGGUGGGGUAGUGGCUUACCAAGGCUUUGACGGGUAGCCGGCCUGAGAGGGUGACCGGCCACAUUGGGACUGAGAUACGGCCCAGACUCCUACGGGAGGCAGCAGUGGGGAAUAUUGCACAAUGGGCGGAAGCCUGAUGCAGCAACGCCGCGUGCGGGAUGACGGCCUUCGGGUUGUAAACCGCUUUCGCCUGUGACGAAGCGUGAGUGACGGUAAUGGGUAAAGAAGCACCGGCUAACUACGUG
This 468-nucleotide ribosomal RNA is filed under the name uncultured bacterium. RNAcentral's name for it is "partial 16S ribosomal RNA". It matches the Rfam family "Bacterial small subunit ribosomal RNA", at positions 28 to 507 of the family's 1533-position model. The record is from RNAcentral.